CCCCAGGCCCCAUCCUUGAACUGCUGAAUUAGUUUGCUGGAGAGUGAACCCUCCCAGAAGAAUUGAGACCUGGGGAUAGCACCCAAGAAGAGGGAAGAUAUGGGUUGACAACUGAGACAUUUCCUGGAUUGUUCAUAUCAUGUCACAGCUGGACUGAGCCUUAGAAGGGCAUCGAGGAAUGCCUUUUUGAUGACACAUUUACACAGAGCCCGAAAGGAAUGAGUGACCCAACCUCAGCCUUGGC
RNAcentral lists this long non-coding RNA (244 nucleotides) under Canis lupus dingo (dingo). RNAcentral's name for it is "lncRNA (ENSCAFG00020013056.1)". Lineage: Eukaryota; Metazoa; Chordata; Mammalia; Carnivora; Canidae. The record is from RNAcentral.